This 12935-nucleotide long non-coding RNA is filed under the name Phoenix dactylifera (date palm). RNAcentral describes it as "long non-coding RNA (PDAC_LNC007315)". Lineage: Eukaryota; Viridiplantae; Streptophyta; Magnoliopsida; Arecales; Arecaceae. The record is from RNAcentral.
CGUCCAGGAUGAUAGGUUUCAUAAUGUGUCAAAUCCUUCAGAACUUAUUUCCCAAGUCCAAAAGAUGGCACGCCUCCUAAUAUCACAACCACUAAGCUGCAAAAGAAAAAAAAACCCCACCAUGUUCUUUAUCUAUCAGCGAGGAAGUGGACACAAAUAGCCCAAGUAGUAUGAGAAAUGCCACAAAACAUUGAUCAUGUAUAAGAGUCAAUUAACAAGAUAUGAGGGAGAUCCUGUCCCUUCAACACAUAAAUGUUAGGACAACCAAGAAAAUGAGUUCACAGCCAAAAAAAAACCAAGAAAAUGAAUAAGGUAAUGUUUCAAUAGAACUUACAAUUCCAAAAGAAAUUAUUAUCCUCAACCCUGCUUGCCCAUAAAAUGUUUUACAUAAUAAUCAGUUAUAUAAUAAUCAUCAUCAGUUAUAUAAUAAAAUGCUUUACAAAAUAAUCAUCUUAUUUUCUAAACUUUAUAAUCUAAUAUCCUAUAAAUGAAGAAAGAUGAGCUUUUGAAAGAUAUUAUGGCAGAAAUAGUUACGAAGAAAAUAAUAAGGAAAAUACACUAUGUGGAAACUUUAAUACCUUUACAAAAUAUUUGAUGUAAACUAUGAUUUUCUCCCUUUUUUUGUAUUUGCAAGGAGCAAAAUUAAUUAGCUAGAAUGUCUAGUUAUAUCACUCUAUCUAUCAUGUAAAAUGAAGUCUCCCGUUUCUUCACCUUUACCAUAUCCUAGGAAAUUCAUUUAAAUAUUUUUUUGAUACAGUAACUGAAUAAUGCAUGGAGACUUAUAUCCCAAAUGCAUGCCACAUUGGUAAUAUACAGAAAUGUUCCACUUAGGUGUUAAAAAGGACAAAAUCCUGCAUUACUCAUGCAUCACAUGACUAGCAUGCAGCUGAGAUAAACUUAGAAAUGGGAAAAGAAAAAGAUACAACCAAAGGUUCACUUAAAGGAGAAAAAAGAGGCACUUGAAGAUACACUUAUUACAUGAGGGAACCAAAUUAAUUUCCUUGAUGAACCUUUUGAUAAAAAAGAAUUUCAAAUUUAAAUAAGAAAGUGUUGAAGAGAACCAGAUAAAGUAGAGAAACUAUCUAAUUCACAAAUCUACAUUAUACAUGUACAUAAAAAUAAAGGCACGUACCCUUAAAAACACAUGCAUAUAUAUAUAUAUAUAUAUAUAUAUAUAUAUAUAUAUAUAUUAUACUANNNNNNNNNNNNNNNNNNNNNNNNNNNNNNNNNNNNNNNNNNNNNNNNNNNNNNNNNNNNNNNNNNNNNNNNNNNNNAUAUAUAUAUAUAUAUAUAUAUAUAUAUAUAUAUAUAUAUAUUAUACCUAUAUUUGAGAAUAAAUUAUAUAGAUAGUCCUAGUGAGAACAUGGAAAAAUUAGGAAUGUUGGUUCCCACUUACAAUAAAAGUAAACUACAAAAACAAGAAAUUAAUUAGUAAGAAAACUGAACAAUGAAAAAAACAUCAUAAAAGAACUAAAAGAACAACUAGAAAAGUUGAAAUUGAUCAAAAGAUCAAAUAGAACUAAAUGGAAGAGAUAUCUAAGCAUGAUCUAGAUUCAAACCUAUUCCUCACCAAUGCUUAGUUGAAGGCUAAAGUCCAUUUUAAGAACGGAAGUUCUAAUCCAUAGUUAUAAUUAGUUCAUUUCAAAAUGCAACAAAACAGGAUUUCAAGUAUAAAAUCACGGAUGGAAACAUCAAUUUUGAUAUAGGAAAAGAUGAAAGGACCAAGAAGAGUAGAAAUUGAUUAAAUAGCUUAAGAAAUCAAUGAUGGAAGAGACAUCUAAAGGCGAUCUACAUUACACACGCACCUGUGAGCGUGCGUGCACGCGCGCGCACAGAGAGAGAGAGGGUCAUUCUUGACCAUCUCGUUGAUAUUGCAUGCAGAAAUAAGGUGACACCAAGAUCUCUAAUCAAAAACUCAUUUUAGAAGAAAGAACUACUAAUCGAAAGGCAAUAGGCUUCCAGAUGAAAUAGCAUUGAUGAAAACAUAAUUUUUCACAUAAAAGCACCCUGGAAAAAUGAAACAUCUAACGAAUACAAAAGCAUAACAAGCUAAGUGGGAAGACUAAAACGAGAACUAAAUGAGAUGACCAGAUGGCAAAAAGAGAAGCUGAAUCCGAUGAAAGAAUAAAAGAGAAAGUGAUGGAAGAGGUAAGUAUUGGUGGUCGUUACAAUCUAUGGCUAUCAGAGAAUUCCUGGGGGCUGAAUUAAGGGAAAGGCUUAUGAGAAUUGAGAGGUUGGGCUCUUUCCUUUAUGGAAGAAAUAAGAAAGUUUCAAGAGCGAUGACAAGUGUGGGAAGAAGACAGUGGGGGUCUGGCUUCUCUUUUUCAAAUGGAGAGGAGUGGGACAUUGGGCGCUUCGGGGGUGAGUUUGUUAGAUAUGUGCUUUGUCUCAAGGUUGCCCUUCAAACUUUAUGUUACAGGUUGUGCUGAUGAUUCAUGUGGGUGGAUAGCGGAAUGUGACGAUUGUCAUGUUUGCUCGUGUCCAGUUGAAACAAUUAAAGUACUUAAAAUUAAGCUUAUACUUCAAAUCACGUUCAAGCCAUAUUCAGAAAAUAAAAAUUCAAAAUUUCUAACAUGAAUUCAACACAUAAAUUACAUGGCUAACUCAAACCCAACUCAUAUAACCUCUUUAAAAACAGAUUCAUUUAUUAGCAAUGAAGGAGACUCAAGUAUCCAAAGUAAUGUAUUUUCUCAAAACUAUUUUUGUUUUAAAUUUAAAGGAAGCUCGAGAUGCUUUACUUCAGAAAGCAACACCCGAAGAAAAGAUGCAGAGUGGCUGCAAGGCGGCGGAGCACCGGCGGGACGCGGCAGCGAAUCAGCAUGUGGAGGAGCCAGUGGUGACUAGGGCGGAUCAGGGGAGUGGGAUUCGGCAACUACUGGGUGCGACGGAGAAUCCCCUGUGGUCGGUGGUAGCCCGGGCCCCCUCGAGCAGGCCGCGGUAGACUACCUUCGAGAGCUCCCAAGUUGAACUCUGGCAGAACCAGAGCGUCUUCACCGAGGUUUUGGAGCUUCCCCCGGAGAGGAUCGACAGAGCCCGAAGAGCUUGGUCGACGACAACCCUUCUUGCCUGAAGCCUCGGCCGCCCUAUUCCGAUCGAGAGGAUUCUGAAGGAAAUCCAAUAUAGGGUGAGGCUUGGCAAUGAGGUCAAAGGCUUCCCUCUGGCAGCGGGGCAUCUGGCCAUUUGCUUCAAGGAGGAGAGGGACAUGGUGCUCCAAAGUGGCCCAUGGUUGGUAGCGGGACAGCUACUGGCCAUGGAGAGGUGGCGCCCCGAUUUCGUGCCCGGUGUCCAGGAAGUGAUCAAGGUUGUGUCGUGGGUGUGAUUGCCGGCACUCCCGCUCGAGUUCUAGGAUAGGGAAUCAAUCCUCGACAUUGCCGGAGUGGUAGUGGAUGCAACAACAGAUGGCAGGUGGCGGCUAGAGUUUGCGAGGGUUAAGAUAGAGGUGGAUGCCUUGAAACCCUUACGGCCUGGGAUCUAUCUCCAGAGCAAAUCGGAGCCGAUCUGACAGGCUUUUACCUACAAAAAUCUGCCGGGGGUAUGCUACAGAUGUGGGUGUCUCGGCCAUGGAAGGGAGCCCUGCACUGCUCGGUCCUCGGCACCAGGUGGAGGGGGAGACUCAAAGGCGGGAGGACAAGGCAAUGGAGACAUCACCGAUCCCAGCCGAUGUUGGCCCCAAUCAACCUCUACGGCUGACAUAUGGACUGUGGCUGGUUACUAGCCAGAUGCGCAAGCCAAAACAGGUCGGAGCGGAGUAGUGGAGGAAGACUAUCGCCGAGUUGGGGAUAGAAAUAACUCGGGGUCCACUCGCCGACGUCCAAAACCCCGAGGAUCCGACACCCAACCUAGAGCCGUCCGAGGUUCCGAUAGAGUCCGAUGAGUGGAAGAGAAUGGCUAGGUGUGAUUGGGAGAAAGCAUCAGCGGUGGAUGAUCCUGAAGGCGACUCAGCCUUCCCUACCGAGGUGAGUGCUUUUGACCCAUUGAUUAACUUUGAGUUUGGCCGAGUCAACUCGGUGUGGAGCAACUUGGGCCAUAAGGGAACCAAAGGUGCCGAGCAGUAGAAGCCCAUUUGACCUUGGUCCACAAAGUGGCAGCAACCGAACUAGGGCCGUCCAAAUGGGCACGAAGCCCAUUGAAAGGCCAAGCUCUAAAGGGGCCUGCGGACCAGAACCGGGCGGACGGGCGGGGAUCCGAAUCUGGAUCAAAACUAGGUUGUCAGGGAACUGAAACUAACCGAGCCAUCCUUGGUGCUCGACUGCGAAGGUCAUCCACAUCCACUGAGCCAAACCUGAGGGCGCUCUCCAUCUCACGGCCGAUGAUGGUGGAGGGGUUGUGUCAGAGGAGGGGUUGGCAACGCAUAGGAGCAAGGACCCUUCAUCACACACCGGCAAGGCAGAAGGUGCGGCGAGGACAGGGGCAGUCUCUGGGAAGAGCUCGGAUCUGGCAGCAUCAACUAUCUCACAUGGUGAAGCAGAGAUUGGUGGCAGGGAGCACCAGGAGCAGCAAGAAGGGGAGGGAUUAGUCUUGGUGGCUGGGGCUGGUGUCUUGGCAGAGGAAGGGGGAGAAUAGGAGGCCUGGCAAGGAUCCCCAGGCAGGCCUGGUUGAUGGUGGGACAGUGUCAAGUGGUGUAGGGGAUUAAGGGGUGAUUGGUAUCGGGGUUGAGGGGUCGAACUCUACUGAGGUUUCCCACAUGCGUAUUGUUGCUAAGCUAAAAAAGGCAAUGCAGGGGUGGGACGGCUCACUACAUUCAUAUGGUGCCAAGCUAGGGGUGUGCAGAAGCACCCCUUCGGAUCCUUGAUAUGCAUAUUCUUGUUUGGAAUUGCCGGAGAGCGCGGAAACCGUCCUUUAGCCCGGCCUCCCGGAGGUUAGUUCACAUACAUGAUCCAACCAUUUGUGUUAUCCUUAAAACCACUCUCUGGUAGAAGCCUACAACAAGCUAGAAGAAGAAUUCCCAACUCAUGGGGAUUCUAUGCAAUUGAAUCUCGGGGAUUGUCAGGGGAAAUUAUUGUCACGUGGCAGUCGAACAUAUGCAAAAUUGAUGUGUUUAAUGAAUGUACUCAGAAUGUAGUGAUGGUCAUAUCGGAGGAAGAUGGGCAACCAUGGGUUUUUUGUGCCACUUAUGCUAAUACAGAUUUUUGUGAGAGAAGAAUUCUGUGGGAUGAGGUAAGGAGCCUGAUUCAUCAUGGGUACCCAACAUUAGUGGUUGGCGACUUUAACUGCAUUGACAGCCCACUGGAGAGGGGGGGCAAGCCAUUCACAAACAAAGUGGAGGUGAGGGAGUUUCAGAAUUUUAUUUUAGGAAGUGGAUUGGUGGAUCUGGGUUUCUCAGGACCGAGAUAUACAUGGUGCAACAACAGGUUGGGCCGUGCCAAGGUAUGGGAGCGGAUUGACCGGGUGUUUGCCACAGCGGGGUGGAUUCAGAGCUGGCCUAACUUCAGGGUUUUCCACUUGCCACGGAUUGCGUCAGAUCAUUGUCCGGUGCUGGUAAGCACCUCUCCCGUAGCUCAGACUCUCGGUCCAUUUAGAUUUAAGAAAUUUUGGCUUUCAUAUCCAAGAUCAUGGGAGGUGGUGAGGGAAGCCUGGCAGGUGCGAGGUAAUGCUAUAGAGAGGGUGUCACGUAGGCUUGAGAUGAUCAAGCGACGCCUGAGGAGAUGGAACAGGGUGGAGGUGGGGAACAUCUUCAGAAAGAUUGAAGGGUUGAAGUAGUGAUUGCAAGCAUUUAGGACAAAGAAGAGCAUAAUGGUGGUUUAUGUGAGGACGAGCAGAGGGACCUCCGGGCUCACCUGGCUAUGCACCAUUCAUUACUUCAGCAGUAGAAGACCUUCUGGAGUCACAGGUUCAGUGGAUUCUAGAGGGGGACCGCAAUACCAGAUUCUUCCACCAAUCCACUAUUAUCCUCCUGUAGAGGAACAGAAUUCACAGCAUCAGGAAGAGCAGUAGCUAGAUGAUGGAGGGUCCAAUCUCGGUUAGGAGGAUCUUGCAGGAGUUCUUCAGGGCUAGGUGGACUAAGCACACCAGUGGUGGAGGGUCGCCUACCCAGCCUGCCCCAGCCAAGAGGGUUACUGAGAAGGAGAAUGCUGAGCUUAUUAGGCCGGUAUCAGUAGCAGAGAUUCAGGAGAACCUUUGGUCCUUGGCUGAGGACAAGGCCCUGUGGCCGGACGAUUUUCUCCCUCUCUCUUUUCGAAGGUAUUGGCAUAUUGUUAGGAUGGAUGUGAUUGAGGCUAUCCUACUGUGUUUCAGCUCAGCUACCAUACCUAGUGAGUGAAAACGGACUUUCAUAACCUUGAUACUGAAAAAGCAGGAUGCCACAGAGCCCAUCCACUAUCGACCCAUUAGCCUCUGUACCACCCUCUACAAGAUCAUAGCCAAAAUUCUAGUGAGGAGGGUUAGGGGGGUACUAGAUAAGGUGGUGAGCCCUGUGGAGGGGGCAUUCAUUGGGGGCUGGUGUAUAUCCGACAAUGUAUUGAUAGCCCAGUAGUUUAUGAGUGAUUUUAGGCAGUUUUCAUGUAGGAUGGGCAUCAAGUUGGACAUGGAGAGAGCAUAUGACAUAAUGGAUUGGCACUUUGUGACACACUCCCUAGAGAUUCUUGGGUUUCACCAUUAGUGGAUUGAAUGGGUUAUGAGUUGCAUCUUAGCACCAUCCUAUGCCAUUCCGGUGAAUGGCAUGUCGACCAGUUUCUUCGAAUCCUCGGUGGGCCUGCGGCAGGGCUAUCCGGUGUCUCCAUUACUUUUCAUCCUUUUCUAGGAUGCUUUAUCCCGAGCCCUCCGUAGCGCCGCUGAGACUCGUGAGCUGGAGCCUUACACACCAAGGUCCGGUACCUUCCAAAUUUCUCAUUUAUUAUUUGCUGAUGACUACUUCUUGAUAGCUCGUGUGACUAGGAGGUCGACACGGACACUCCGGGGGAUAAUUACAGAGUACUGCAAUGCCUCCAAGCAGAGGGUAAAUUUGGCCAAAUCGACAAUAUCCUACAGUCCGAAGAUUGAAAUCCAGUUGAAAGGUACCAGUUCAAAGAUCUUGGGAAUUGAGGAGUGUGGUACCAUGCGGUACCUGGGGAUCCCCAUCACCGGUCGACGAUUGCGCGGGGCAGAUUGUUCCGAGGUGGAGUUGACCUUCCGACAGCGAUUGGAGGGGAAGCAGGCGAGUUCUUUCUCCAUGACGGGCAAGGUCAUUUUGGUUAGAUCAGUGCUGAGCUCUAUCCCCGUGUACAUGCUUUCAAACACCAUUGUCCCGAUUAUCUUUCUUAGGCAAUUGGAGCAACUAUUGUGGAGCAUUCAUCUACUUGCAUGGGAGGUCCUAUGUUAGCCGAAGAGCUCCGGGGGCUUGGGCAUUCACUCUCUCCUUACUAGGCGAGAGGCCUUGGCAUUGAGGCAUAUGGCUAGAUUCUGUUGGAGGCGGAUGGGUUAUGGAGUAGACUAAUGAGAGCAAAGUACGGGAUGGGAGACUCAUUUCCACCAGGGCGUUAGUGCUCUUAUAUUUGGUGGGAUAUGUGUGUACAAGCCCCACAGAUACUCCCCUGCAUCUACUGAGCGGUGGGGGAUGGCUGCAGUAUUAAUGUUGUUGAGGAUAAAUGGAUGGCUGAGCUGCCGCUAUCCAGAUGGCCCACGAUGUUUGACCCUAUUGCGACGGCUGGGAGCAGAGUGUGCGAUCUUUUUGCUCAGGAUGAGAGCAGAUGGGAUGCUGCUCAAGUCCACCUCCUCUUCGGCGACGACCUUGCAUAGAGGAUUUUGGCCACACCUCUACCUCUCGAGGGGAUGGCAGAUAGGAGGGUAUGGAGUUGGACUAGGAGGGUUAGGGUCGCAGUCAGUGAUCUCCAGAUGAUAGUGGACCCAGGGUCUGUUUGUCGGAUGGCAGGGCGUUGGAUUUGGCAGCUACGUGUCCAUCCACGUGUGGCUAUGUUUUUGUGGAGGGUGGCAUGGGGCAUCCUACCUACCAAAGGGAUCUUAGUUAGGAGGGCAGUCCGGAUACCAGCAGAUUGUGAGGGAAGCUUGGGGGAGGAGGAGACCAUCAGCCACGCCCUGUUUACAUGUCCGUGGGCACUUCAGGUUUGGAGCCUUGCCCUGGCUCAUCAGUAGUUCUUUACAUCUACGGAGAUAUUUUUGAGUCAGUUGAGGGACUCAGCUCGAAGACCAGGGAUGGCAGAGGGGAGCUGUUUGGCAUAUGUGACAUACCAUAUUUAGCUAGAUAGGAAUAUGCGGAUCUUCGAGGGUAGAGGAUUCUACCCACGAUCAGUGGUCGAUAGAGCUUUUGCACAGGCAACCGAGCUGGUGAGCGUUGCUGCAGAGAUAUCACCUAGAGAUGAUAGGGACAUCUGGGGUUCUUCUUUGGCUCUUGCAGCAUCCAGGUAUGUGAUGGUAUCGAUGGUAUUCUGGGAGCCCCCACCCUCUGAUUUCUUUAAGAUAAACUUCGAUGGCAGUGUAUCAGAAGGCAGCAGUAGAUGUGGCGUGUGUUUUGUGAUCAGAGACUAGGACUCCAGAAUGAUUGCAGCUGAGGGCCGGCGUACAUUUGAUGGUUCCAUUCUCAUGUCAGAGUUGCGUGCGACAUGGAAGGGCCUCGUCUAUGCUAGAGUGCACUUGGGUGCUAGGCGGGCGUUCCUGGAGGGCGACUCGGCUACAGUGAUCGGUUGGAUCCGGAGCCGGCAGACCAGGUCUAAGCGGCACCCACUACUCCGAGAUAUUUGGCGGCUCGUGGAGGAGUUAGAGUUAUUUCGGGCUUCGCAUGUGUUUUAGGAGGCAAAUAGUUCAGCGGACUGGGCCGCCUCUUUUGUAGCCCACUACUUUGGGGGUGUCUUUUGGAGUAGUUCCGAUUGUGUGCCGCUGGCAUUAGAUCGUGUUUUGUACUAUGACUGUUCUGGGCCAUCUCACGGCUGAUUGUACUAAGAGGCUGACUUACCAAAAAAAAAUCUAUUUUUUCCUCAAAAAUUAUCCCAACUAAUAUCAAAAGUCCAUAAACAGGUAAAGAGAUGAUCACCCCCCCCUCACAGGGAGAGAGAGGAAGAGAGAGAGAUGGAGAUCAGUAUCAUUAGUAUUGAAGUAGUUACUAGGUUUGAAUCCUGAACUCGCCCAAUUUUGGCUUGACUUGUUUUCAUUCUAGCUCAAAAGGAAAAAAAGAAAAAGAAAAGUGGUUCUUGUUUGGAAGGUCAUCCAUCAUAGGUUAGGAAUUUAUGCAUGACAAGAAGAUGAUGAGUAUUGAUCCACGAAAAGAGAUACGAGAAAUGCAAAAGAAAUCAACUACUGAUUAUGGGCAAACCUAUGGAAAUAUAUUGGUUUCUUACUCUCGGAACAAAAGAAAAAAAAGGGUUUUCUUACUCAUGCAAAGGAUGGGUUUUCAAUUCUAAGGGAACUAGCAAGUUCAAACGAUACUUUGAAGCUCAAAUCUCUGUCCGGCUAAGCAAGAUUCUAACCCUUUGGUAAAGAAAAAGUUUACAAAUUAGUCAUCUUAAUCUCCAUAACAUAAUAUCUACUUAAAAGAAGCAACAUGAGCUUUGAAGAUAUUCUAACAAGAAUAUAUAAGGAAAGGAUAUAAGGAAAAAUACAUUAUGAAAUCAAAAUAUAAAAAAUAUAGUUUUAAUACCUUAACCAACCCUUCACGAGCAUAAUGGACAGACUAUCUCCUCCCUCCAAGACCAAGUAAUUUGGAAAACAAACUCUCUUUUUUAUCAAAUCUGUCAAAGCACAAAAAUUGAUCAGGUAGAAUGUCAAAAUCUGUGUUUGAUCUUAUAUAAUGAUAAUUUUUCUUUAAAAAACAGAUCUAUUUUUUUUAAAUGGAGAAAUUACUGUCUAUCAUUCUAAAACUUCAAAUCUCUAGACCUCUCUCAUUCCUCAGUUUACAGAAGUUUUCAUGAAUAAUUAGAUGAUGACCCACUUCUUUCUCCACCUUUGCCCAGUCAUAAGAAAUUCAUCCAAAUUUUUCAUCUUUCAUGAUCAAAUUCAUUGCAUCAAAAUGCAACUAGGAUACAUGUAACAACCCAGGACCUNNNNNNNNNNNNNNNNNNNNNNNNNNNNNNNNNNNNNNNNNNNNNNNNNNNNNNNNNNNNNNNNNNNNNNNNNNNNNNNNNNNNNNNNNNNNNNNNNNNNNNNNNNNNNNNNNNNNNNNNNNNNNNNNNNNNNNNNNNNNNNNNNNNNNNNNNNNNNNNNNNNNNNNNNNNNNNNNNNNNNNNNNNNNNNNNNNNNNNNNNNNNNNNNNNNNNNNNNNNNNNNNNNNNNNNNNNNNNNNNNNNNNNNNNNNNNNNNNNNNNNNNNNNNNNNNNNNNNNNNNNNNNNNNNNNNNNNNNNNNNNNNNNNNNNNNNNNNNNNNNNNNNNNNNNNNNNNNNNNNNNNNNNNNNNNNNNNNNNNNNNNNNNNNNNNNNNNNNNNNNNNNNNNNNNNNNNNNNNNNNNNNNNNNNNNNNNNNNNNNNAAAAAGAAGAAGAUAUACUUGUACGAUUCAGUCAAAAAAUAGAAAUAAGAAAUACCCUUGAAGAAACACUUAUUUAUUAUCAAGAAUCCAAAACAAUUUUUCUAAUGUACCAGUUAAAAUCAUAGGUGGCAAUCGGAUUGGUUCGGACAAGAUACAGGUUGGGUCUGACAAGAUACAAGUUAGAUACAGGAUAGAUCAAAAUUCUGUCAAUCCGAACCUAACCUAUUUAUUAAACAAGUCAAAAAUUCAGAUCCGAACCUGAACAUUUUAUUAAAUAGGUAAUCUAACCCAAAGUACAACAAGUUGAAAUAAGUUAAAUAGGUUAAACGGUUAAGCAUUGCCACCUUUAGUUAAAAUAAAAGAAAUAUCAUUUGAAAAAGAAAGGAUUGAAGAGAACCAUAUUAAGGAAUUGGAAAUGAGAUCACAAAAGAAGUAUAGGUAUGCAUGCGCAUACGCACGCAACACACACACAUAUAUGCAUGUAUAUAUGUAUGUAUUAUGUAUGCAUUUAUGUUUCUAUGACUUUAUAUAUGUACGCAGAUACAAACAUGUAUACAUGUAUUUAUACUUGCAUGUAUGUGUAUAUAUGUGUGUGUGUAUACACAUAUGCACACACAUACAUAUAUGCAUGCAUGCAUACAUCCAUAUAUUCAUGCAUGCAUGCAUGCAUACAUACAUACAUACAUACAUACAUAUAUAUAUAUGUAUGUAUGUAUGUAUGUAUGUAUGUAUGAGUGUAUGUAUGUGUAUAUAUGUAUGUAUGUAUGUAUGUAUAUGUAUAUGUGUUGAUGUGCCAAAGUAGUCUAUUUUUAGAAAGAUCAAGUUUAUAAAUUUUUAACUAGGACUAACUCUAAAUAUUGUAAAAUCUUGAUAUGAAGAGGUAGAGGACAAUUUUGAAACAAGUAUUUUUUGCCUAUAUUUAAGAAUGACUAUAUAUAGGAAUAGUAAAAACUUGGAGAAAUUAAGCAUAUCCAUUAUCAUAAAAAAAAAAAUCAAAUAAUGUCAGUAAAGAAAACAAUAAAAAUAAUUCUUCUCAAAAUGUAAUCAAAAAAUUAAUAAAAAAGAGGAUGCCGACUAGUUGAGUUGGUAAAGUCUUUGGAUGCUGGAUAGCACCAUUCUAGAUUCGAUCUCAUCCUAUUGGUUGCUUCUUGUUUUAGUCCCUCGAAGAAACUCAUUCUACAAAAUCAGAAGAAAGCACAAAGCAUGGAUAUUCUUGACUUGAACAUGAAAUAAUAAUAGAAGGAGCCAAAAUUCAUCAAACAAACAAAGAGAACUGCAAAGAGAUUCUUCUACAUUCUGUGCCCUAGGUUCGAUCUUGUCUCCUCUCUGAUUUUGUUGGCUGUUUCUUGUCUCAAUCCCCAGAAAAAGAAAAAAAAACUCAUUAAAAAACGACAGAAAGCAUUAAUCUAUGAAUUUACUUGAUUAGAGCACCAAAUAACAACAAGAUUAGCUGAAAUUCACAAAAGUAAAAAAGAAAACUGCAAUGAAAUUGAUUCUACACGCGUUUUGGGUGCAAAAAAUCACUCCUUAUCAUCUCACAGUUCUUGCAGGCUAAAGGAGAACACCAAAAUUCAUAAUAAAGAUCCAUGUUAAAGAAAUGAAUUCUAUUUAAUUCAUCUGAAAAGACAAAAAAGCCAGCUUUCAAAUACAAUAUCAUUGAUAGAUACAACAUCUUUCACUCAAAAGAUGGGUUAAAAAUGAAACAGCUCAUUGACAUCCAUUAGAAAAAUGAAAGAACCAAAAAGAGCAGAAAUGAAUGAAAAAUCCGAGAAAUCAACAAUGGAAGAGGCAGUUAAAGGCAAUCUGCAUUUAAUUAAAAAAAAUAAAAGAGGUAAUUAUUGACUAUCUCAAAAAAAAGGGAACACAAGAUUUUUAAUCAAAAUCUCACUUUAAAAGAAGGGACUUCCAAUCAAUCCACCAAAAAUCACACAUAAACCACCUUCUAGAUGCAUAACCAUAAAUUAAAAAUUCUGAAAAUGAGCAAUGGAAGAGGCAUAUAGAUGUGAUCUGUAUUUAAUUGAAAAAAUAAAAAUGGGUCAUAAUUAUGGACCGUCUCAGAGCCCCUGCAUGCAGAAGUAAGGGAACAUAAGAUUUUUAAUCAAAUCUCACCUUAGAAGAAGGGGCUUCCAAUCAAUCCACCAAAAAUCACAAAUAAACCGGCUUCUAGAUGCAUUACCCUCAAUUAAAACAUCAUCUUUCUACGAAAAAGAAACGUUUACAGACAAUCUACGCACAAAGCGUCAUGAAAACCAAACUGUUUUCUUGAUCCAAGAAACAAAUAGAAUCAAACAACAAUGAAAAUAGCUCAAACAUAUGAAAGAAUCGAAGAAAACUGUGAUGGAAGAGAAAGAUGUAGGCGCUGAUUACCGUCUAUGGAUGAGGAUUGGAGAUCAGCUCAUGAGGGCUGAAAUUGGGGCAGGUGAAAGGCUUGUGAAAUUUGAGAGAUUGAUUUCUUGUAGAAAGAAACAGAAAAAGUUAUCAGAAGAAUGCGACGAGUGUGAGAAAAGGACACAGCGAGAGAGCUGGCUUCGCUUCUUCAAAUGGAG